UACGUAGGGGGCAAGCGUUGUCCGGAAUUAUUGGGCGUAAAGCGCGCGCAGGCGGCCGUUUAAGUCUCGUGUUUAAAUCCGGAGCUCAACUUCGGAACGCACGGGAAACUGGGCGGCUUGAGUGCAGGAGAGGGGAGCGGAAUUCCACGUGUAGCGGUGAAAUGCGUAGAGAUGUGGAGGAACACCAGUGGCGAAGGCGGCUCUCUGGCCUGUGACUGACGCUGAGGCGCGAAAGCGUGGGGAGCGAACAGG
RNAcentral lists this unclassified non-coding RNA (252 nucleotides) under uncultured Paenibacillaceae bacterium. Its description in RNAcentral is "contains 16S-23S intergenic spacer region". It matches the Rfam family "Bacterial small subunit ribosomal RNA", at positions 524 to 776 of the family's 1533-position model. The record is from RNAcentral. Lineage: Bacteria; Bacillati; Bacillota; Bacilli; Caryophanales; Paenibacillaceae.